This 460-nucleotide ribosomal RNA is filed under the name uncultured bacterium. RNAcentral's name for it is "partial 16S ribosomal RNA". It matches the Rfam family "Bacterial small subunit ribosomal RNA", at positions 338 to 795 of the family's 1533-position model. The record is from RNAcentral.
CCUACGGGAGGCAGCAGUGAGGAAUCUUGGUCAAUGGGCGCGAGCCUGAACCAGCCAAGUAGCGUGAAGGAUGACUGCCCUACGGGUUGUAAACUUCUUUUAUCAAGGAAUAAAGUGAGGCACGUGUGCCUUUUUGUAUUUACUUUAUGUAUAAGGAUCGGCUAACUCCUUGCCAUCCCCCCCGGUAAUCCGGAGGAUCCGAGCGUGAUCCGGAUUUAUUGGGUUUAAAGGGAGCGUUAAUGGGUUGUUAAGUCAGUUGUGAAAGUUUAGGGCUCAAACGUAAAAUUGCAAGUGAUACUGGCAGUCUUGAGUAAAGUUGAGGUAGGCGGAAUUCGUGGUGUAGCGGUGAAAUGCGUAGAUAUCACGAAGAACACCGAGUGCGAAGGCAGCUUACUAAACUGACACUGACAUUGAUGCUCGAAAGUGUGGGUAUCAAACAGGAUUAGAUACCCGAGUAGUC